This 434-nucleotide ribosomal RNA is filed under the name uncultured Lachnospiraceae bacterium. RNAcentral's name for it is "bacterial SSU rRNA". It matches the Rfam family "Bacterial small subunit ribosomal RNA", at positions 341 to 792 of the family's 1533-position model. The record is from RNAcentral. Lineage: Bacteria; Bacillati; Bacillota; Clostridia; Lachnospirales; Lachnospiraceae.
ACGGAAGGCAGCAGUGGGGAAUAUUGCACAAUGGGGGAAACCCUGAUGCAGCGACGCCGCGUGAGUGAUGAAGUAUUUCGGUAUGUAAAGCUCUAUCAGCAGGGAAGAUUAUGACGGUACCUGACUAAGAAGCCCCGGCUAACUACGUGCCAGCAGCCGCGGUAAUACGUAGGGGGCAAGCGUUAUCCGGAUUUACUGGGUGUAAAGGGAGCGUAGACGGUUUGGCAAGUCAGAUGUGAAAGCCUGGGGCUCAACCCCGGAACUGCAUUUGAAACUGUCAGACUAGAGUGCAGGAGAGGUAAGUGGAAUUCCUAGUGUAGCGGUGAAAUGCGUAGAUAUUAGGAGGAACACCAGUGGCGAAGGCGGCUUACUGGACUGUAACUGACGUUGAGGCUCGAAAGCGUGGGGAGCAAACAGGAUUAGAUACCCUGGUA